Molecule: long non-coding RNA, 2428 nt
Filed under: Macaca fascicularis (crab-eating macaque)
Lineage: Eukaryota; Metazoa; Chordata; Mammalia; Primates; Cercopithecidae
Description: lncRNA (ENSMFAG00000058982.1)
Source: RNAcentral
UUUAUUUAGCAAAGUUAAACAUACAUAUAUUUUGAAAGAGAAAAAGGAACUCACCCAACCCUCAUAUUCAAGAGCUUAAAAUCAAAGGAACUCAAGACCCAUCCUCAACUUCAAAUGCCAGUCAUUAUUUUAGAGGUAACUCAGAUUUCUAAGUAAUGCUUCUGUUUCUCGAUUUAUCAAAUACACAUUAUGUAUUUUGUUUUCCUACAUGAGAAUUGAGUAGUUAAUAGAAUACCCAUCUCUUAUCAGUAACAAAGAUUUACAAAAUAACUUUUGUUUUUCAUAAUUACAAAAGCAAUACAUUAUCAUUGCAGAACAUGUUUUUUUUAAAAAAAAAGACAAAAAGUAACAAAACUCUCCAUUAUCCCAAUAGGCAGAGGAAGUUAUUACCAUUUUAAUGCAUAUCCUUAACAUAUACAUGUAAAAGGUACAUAUACACAUAAAAAUAUGUUUAACAGAAAUUACUUUGUACACAAUAUUUGAUUGAACUAUAUAUGAUCUGUCUUUCAUUUUCAUUUUAUUGUAGUAUAAUUUACAUAAAAUGCAUAAAUCUUAAACCUAUAAAUUUUUACAUUAUAUAGAAAUGUAUAGUUAUAUACUCCAUGCUCCCUCCCAAUCAAUGCUGCCUCAAAACGAACUGCUCUUCUAAUUUUAGAGCUUAACUCUUCUCAUCUCUAUCACCACAGAUUAGUUGUAUUUUUAAGCUUCAUGUAAAAUUUUCCAUGUCAACUUUGGAAACAUGACAGUUAAAGUUCUAAGGAAUCUCCAGUUCUCCAACUGGUGUGGGAAUAAGAUAAUUUGACUCCACUGUGAAUUGUGGUUACUGAUGGUAUCACUGAGUCUGUUACGGGCCAACGAGAAACAGUCUGAAGGGCCAAGAAUUUAUGGCCCUGUAGGGAUUGCAGAAAGAAACCAAACCCAAGUUCACAAUUCAGCCUGGAAGGAGAAAGUUCUAUCACUCAGUAUCUCAAGACUAAGCGGAUCAUAAAUGGUGUCACAAGUUUGCAGUUUUUUCCCUGUGGAAGAUAAUAAUCUUUUGUAUGCUUAAUUCGUUAUCAUCGCCUUAUAAAUUAUCACCAGCACAGAUAACUACCACGGUCAUCGGUCCCCAAACCAGCUGUCCAUGAGCAAUGACGAAUUAAAACGGGGGUGGGGGAGAAGGGGUGUAGGGCCCAAGAGUUGGGGAGCAUUAUGGCUUGCUGUCAAGUGGCAGCCUAAGAUGUACUUGGGAAGAUGUUUCAUAUCCAUUUUCCCUGUGAAAUUAAAAUUGUGAUGCUACCAAACCUUUGCUUGUCCACCAUCCUUAAGAGAAUACUCAUUCAGUACAAAACCUUGCAAAAAGGAAUGAGCCAAUUUGAAUAAAAGCGAAAACUUCUUAGGAAUUAGCAGCCCGAAAGGCUGCUUGAGAGAUGGCAAACAUAUUGAGGAGUUCUCAAACAGCUGCUCUCUGAUUACAGGUGGGAAAAGGCCAUUCCCAUGCCUUCUCCCACGGGCACAGAGAAUCAAAGGCACUUUCCAUAUUUAACACGACUAAUAUGUCAUUGGCCAAAGAGAUACUCAAUACAUCUCCAUAGCUUUUCCUUACUUUUACUUAACCUUUAUGUCGGAUACUUAAUGCCUAGUACUGUUCUAAGCGCUUUGCAUGCAUCAUCUCAUCAACCUAAUAAAGCAGCUCGGAUAGAUUAACUUUUAAAAUCUGGAUACAGCUGGGUAAGGUGGCAGAAAAGUUGGAAUUCAAAUAAAAGCCAGUCCUACAGCAGGGCCAUUAUUGCCUCCCCUAGCUUGAUCACGAAAAAUGAGUGGUUCUUCCCUCUGGGCACACAGGACAAUGGACAUGCGGGCUGCUGUCAGGAUUUACCGAAGAUGGCCGCUGCGCUGGGCUUGGAGUGUGAGCUGACGGUGUCCCAGGCAAAAAAGUCGAGAGUGGCAGCCGACUGCUUUUUUGGAGGCCAAGAGAGGAGAAAAGGGUUAAACGGAAACGGGCAGUCAAGAGCAAGGGCAAGAAUAGGAGAAAAGGAAAGCCCCGACUCCCCUAGCCGCAGAAAGCGCUGGGCGGAAGUGAGCUGGCCUAGAAAGCGCCCUGCGUGGAGGUAGGCCCGCGCGGCGGAAGUGCGUUUCUGAGGCUCCUCCUGUAGGCUGCGGAGGAGGGACUGAGCUUGCGCGCGGGCCAGCUGUCCUCUCUUCUGAUCCCGAAGACAGGAUCGGAUUAUGGUUUGUUGCCGGUUAGCGCGGCCCUGGGGGUUUCCGGUCCCUGGAGACGAGUCGCACCCCUGCAGUUUACUGGGCGCUCUUCUGUAACCCGCUUUCCGACCCCGCCCAGAGUUAUUAAGACCCGGGCAGAUAAGGCCCCUCUGUCCCUCCUAGCCGCCGUCUCUCCUAGGCUGGAGGGCGGCGCCCCAUAUGACGCAGAAGGCGGCUAGGGAUACGC